RNAcentral lists this ribosomal RNA (497 nucleotides) under uncultured bacterium. RNAcentral describes it as "partial 16S ribosomal RNA". It matches the Rfam family "Bacterial small subunit ribosomal RNA", at positions 28 to 507 of the family's 1533-position model. The record is from RNAcentral.
GAUGAACGCUGGCGGCGUGCCUAAUACAUGCAAGUCGAGCGAACAGACGAGGAGCUUGCUCCUCUGACGUUAGCGGCGGACGGGUGAGUAACACGUGGAUAACCUACCUAUAAGACUGGGAUAACUUCGGGAAACCGGAGCUAAUACCGGAUAAUAUAUUGAACCGCAUGGUUCAAUAGUGAAAGAUGGUUUUGCUGUCACUUAUAGAUGGAUCUGCGCCGCAUUAGCUAGUUGGUAAGGUAACGGCUUACCAAGGCAACGAUGCGUAGCCGACCUGAGAGGGUGAUCGGCCACACUGGAACUGAGACACGGUCCAGACUCCUACGGGAGGCAGCAGUAGGGAAUCUUCCGCAAUGGGCGAAAGCCUGACGGAGCAACGCCGCGUGAGUGAUGAAGGUCUUCGGAUCGUAAAACUCUGUUAUUAGGGAAGAACAAAUGUGUAAGUAACUAUGCACGUCUUGACGGUACCUAAUCAGAAAGCCACGGCUAACUACGUG